GUAGGUGAACCUGCGGAAGGAUCAUUACAGAGUUCAUGCCCCUCGGGGUAGAUCUCCCACCCUUGUGUAUCAUUAUAGAAUGUUGCUUUGGCGGGCCGCGUUUCGGCGCCUGGAUUCGCGUCCAGAGUGCUCGCCAGAGGACCCCCAAACUCUGUUAAUUAGUGUCGUCUGAGUAUUAUACAAAAUAGUUAAAACUUUCAACAAC
This 205-nucleotide unclassified non-coding RNA is filed under the name plant metagenome. Its description in RNAcentral is "partial contains small subunit ribosomal RNA, internal transcribed spacer 1, and 5.8S ribosomal RNA". The record is from RNAcentral.